CUACGGGUCGCUGCAGUGGGGAAUAUUGCACAAUGGAGGAAACUCUGAUGCAGCAACGCCGCGUGGAGGAUGACACUUUUCGGAGCGUAAACUCCUUUUAUAUAGGAAGAAGAUGACGGUACUAUAUGAAUAAGCGCCGGCUAACUCCGUGCCAGCAGCCGCGGUAAUACGGAGGGCGCAAGCGUUACUCGGAAUCACUGGGCGUAAAGAGCGUGUAGGCGGAUUAAAAAGUCAGAAGUGAAAUCCUAUAGCUUAACUACAGAACUGCUUCUGAAACUCUUAAUCUAGAAUAUGGGAGAGGUAGAUGGAAUUUCUGGUGUAGGGGUAAGAUCCGUAGAGAUCAGAAGGAAUACCGAUGGCGAAGGCGAUCUACUAGAACAUUAUUGACGCUGAGACGCGAAAGCGUGGGGAGCAAACAGGAUUAGAUACCCUGGUAGUC
RNAcentral lists this ribosomal RNA (439 nucleotides) under uncultured bacterium. Its description in RNAcentral is "partial 16S ribosomal RNA". It matches the Rfam family "Bacterial small subunit ribosomal RNA", at positions 339 to 795 of the family's 1533-position model. The record is from RNAcentral.